UCCCCUAGUAACUGCGAGUGAAGCGGGAAAAGCUCAAAUUUGAAAUCUGGCAGUUUUUGACUGUCCGAGUUGUAAUCUAGAGAAGUGUUACCUGUGCUGGACUGUGUACAAGUCUUCUGGAAUGGAGCAUCGUAGAGGGUGAGAAUCCCGUCUUUUGACACAGACUACCAGUGCAUUAUGGUGUGCUCUCGAAGAGUCGAGUUGUUUGGGAAUGCAGCUCAAAAUGGGUGGUAAAUGCCAUCUAAAGCUAAAUAUUGGCGAGAGACCGAUAGCGAACAAGUACCGUGAGGGAAAGAUGAAAAGAACUUUGGAAAGAGAGUUAAACAGUACGUGAAAUUGCUGAAAGGGAAACGCUUGAAGUCAGUCACGUUGGCUAGAAAUCAGCCUUGCUUCUGCUUGGUGGACUUUCUUGUCUGCGGGUCAGCAUCAAUUUUGACCAUUGGAUAAAGUCUAUGGGAAUGUAGCAUCUUUGGAUGUGUUAUAGCCCAUUGUCACAUACAGUGGUUGGGAUUGAGGAACUCAGCACGCCUGCAAGGGCCGGGUUUCGACCACGUUCGUGCUUAGGAUGCUGGCAUAAUGGCUUUAAUCGACCCGUCUUGAAACACGGACCAAGGAGUCUAACAUGCCUGCGAGUGUUUGGGUGGAAAACCCAUGCGCGCAAUGAAAGUGAAAGUUGAGAUCUCUGUUAAAGGGAGAGCAUUGACGCCCAGACCAGACCUUCUGUGACGGAUCUGCGGUAGAGCAUGUGUGUUGGGACCCGAAAGAUGGUGAACUAUGCCUGAAUAGGGUGAAGCCAGAGGAAACUCUGGUGGAGGCUCGUAGCGAUUCUGACGUGCAAAUCGAUCGUCAAAUUUGGGUAUAGGGGCGAAAGACUAAUC
This 878-nucleotide ribosomal RNA is filed under the name Inocybe iringolkavensis. RNAcentral describes it as "LSU rRNA". It matches the Rfam family "Eukaryotic large subunit ribosomal RNA", at positions 76 to 936 of the family's 3401-position model. The record is from RNAcentral. Lineage: Eukaryota; Fungi; Basidiomycota; Agaricomycetes; Agaricales; Inocybaceae.